UACGAAGGGGGCUAGCGUUGUUCGGAAUUACUGGGCGUAAAGGGCUCGUAGGUGGCCAACUAAGUCGGACGUGAAAUCCCUCGGCUUAACCGGGGAACUGCGUCCGAUACUGGAUGGCUUGAGUUUGGGAGAGGGAUGCGGAAUUCCAGGUGUAGCGGUGAAAUGCGUAGAUAUCUGGAGGAACACCGGUGGCGAAGGCGGCAUCCUGGACCAACACUGACACUGAGGAGCGAAAGCCAGGGGAGCAAACGGG
This 253-nucleotide ribosomal RNA is filed under the name uncultured bacterium. Its description in RNAcentral is "partial 16S ribosomal RNA". It matches the Rfam family "Bacterial small subunit ribosomal RNA", at positions 524 to 776 of the family's 1533-position model. The record is from RNAcentral.